UUCGACCAUAUCAAGUUGAAGAGCCGGUUCUCGUGCGAUCCCCGUAGUUAAGCGCCGUUGAAGCUCGUCAGUACUUAAAUGGGAAACCGCUUCGCAAUUCAAAGUGCUGUAA
Acanthosepion pharaonis is the source of this 112-nucleotide non-coding RNA. The record is from the annotation of a GenBank genome assembly. NCBI's taxonomy places the organism in Eukaryota, Metazoa, Mollusca, Cephalopoda, Sepiida, Sepiidae.